ACCCAUUCACUUUUCCAUCUUCCUUCUUUCUCUCUCUUUAACCAGCACCGGUUUCGCCCCUUGUCCCUUUCUCUAUCAACGCCGGUGAGGCAAAGACAAGCACCGGCGAAAUCAACCGGGAAAGCUUUCCUCUCCUCUCCGCCUCUUUUCUCUCCUCUCUUUCUCCGGCAAACGAGAACAACGAGAGAUUGCAUCUCCGCUCCUCUCUUCUCUCCGACCAGCAGCGAUGAGGGCGAGCAGCAGCACCCAGCGAGACGCACUCUAGUAUCUGCGACGGCAAGUUUGUGAGUUUGACGUGUUUCAAUGAAUUAAAAUAGCUUCCAUGGGCGUUAGCAUUGAGUUUGGAAUAUUCUUCCUCCAUGUCCGGCAAGCAGUGAUGAUGGAGCUGAUGAUGAGAAUGAUAAGGGUGAUAAGGAGAGUGAGGAUGAUAAAGAGUAGUUGUAUUGAUUUGACAUUUUAAACUUCUAUAUUUUUAGAAUUGUUUAAUCGUAUUUUAGUUUAUUUUGAAGUUGGAUGAAGUUUAUUUCAAAAUAGUUUAGUGUAUAUGCUGAAAAUAUUGUGUUGUUUUGGUUGGAUGAAGUUUAUUUUAAAAUAGCUCAUUUGGAA
This is a long non-coding RNA of Solanum pennellii, 606 nucleotides long. RefSeq lists it as uncharacterized. The transcript has 2 exons. The record is from RefSeq and is a predicted model, not a curated record. NCBI's taxonomy places the organism in Eukaryota, Viridiplantae, Streptophyta, Magnoliopsida, Solanales, Solanaceae.